This is a long non-coding RNA of Pomacea canaliculata, 1492 nucleotides long. RefSeq lists it as uncharacterized. The record is from RefSeq and is a predicted model, not a curated record. The transcript has 4 exons. NCBI's taxonomy places the organism in Eukaryota, Metazoa, Mollusca, Gastropoda, Architaenioglossa, Ampullariidae.
GGAGACAGCUCAUCGGGAUAUUACCCCAAACAAGCAGUCUAAAUAUUUUCCCUCCUGCAAAUUGGAGUGGUCGUGUACAGAAAAGGAGAAUAUCUCACCUGGUGUGCAUCAUCAAAGACAAUUCUCGAAGCUAUCUCCCUGCCAUGACAUCGGCUUGCAUCGCUUCCGUCAUCGUGACGCACAUAGCUGCCACGGCUCUCCUUGUCGUUGCCUUGGCAACGUCACACUGGGUGUGGAUUGGACGGAUCAACAGAACAGGGCUGUGCGCAUGCUCCGAGUGCGACUGCGGCGUCUGGUACUUUUGCUCGCGCGGGAGGCAUGGCGAUGGGGAGGAACACAGUGACUGCACUUUUUUAUUGCAAACGAGAGCCGCGUGGAAAUGCAACUCCCAGAUUGGUUCAAAGCAACACAAGCAAUCUUAGUACUGCCGCGGCACUGAGUGUGACAUCAGUGAUGCUGGAACUGGCAGCCGCGUGUCUUCUCAAGAACCUUCAUCAUGUCAUCAUAGUUACUUCUGUCUUAUCAGCCUUUCUGCUGACCGUGGCCGUCUGCAUUUUCGGGACGGAGGUAUCUCACCUGGACGACAUCGCUCUGACCAUCGAGGGACUUGACGAUAAGAGCUACCUGGCGUGGAGCUAUUGGGUGGCCGUCGCCGCAGCAGGUCUCGCCUGGCUGGCUACGUCAUGCUCACUGAUAGUCUGCUGGCACAGGUGCAGCCCGCUCUACUCUGUUUGAAGUCACGUGAGACGUUACGUCACGGCAGCUGACCAAUGAACACUUGCAACGGGAAAACCGUUCACUCUGCAGCUCAUUGCAGAGAAUUUUGGGUAGGGUGCAAUUAAGGUAGUGCGUGCGAGUGAGAGAGAGAGAACAGGUAUCAUGCAACUGAUCAUUUCUGGGACAACGUAGCUGGAAAAAGACAUAUUGAGGUAACUCAUAGAAAGAUUUACGAACUUAGCGACGAAUAGAAAAUUUCGUAAACAGGUUCACACAACCUUGAUAGCUAGCUUAGAUGCUACAAAGCUUCGCUAUGCUCACCGUUAUCAUUUCACGUGAACUGCCACCUGCGUGUGUAUUUGUUAUCUCUUUCCACUUCAUGUAAAGCAGAUGACUCUUUUAAUAUCUACUUGUCUGCCUUACAGUGUCAAUAACCGUGGCGUCAACACUCUUAAGCACAACUGAUUAAAAACACAAAUAUGCUUGCAGCAUUUUAUUUGCCACCAGCAAACGCCAACGUACUGUAGGAAAUUCUUUCAAAAUCACAAAGGGAAAUCACUGGACCAAAAGGACAAGUGCCUCAUUAUUUUGUCAAUCAAGAAUGAUGAAAAAAAAACACAUUUGAGAAACAAAAUCACAAUACAACUUUUACAAUUUAUUUUGCUGCUCACUGCAACAAUAAGAGUGCGAUGUCAGCUUUCUUUAGUUUUUAUUUGAAGUGGAAGGGUGACAAGAAAACUUGAUUAUUUGACAAUAAACGCUGAUUUCAGAUAAA